Molecule: long non-coding RNA, 1828 nt
Organism: Scylla paramamosain (green mud crab)
Lineage: Eukaryota; Metazoa; Arthropoda; Malacostraca; Decapoda; Portunidae
Exons: 2
Source: RefSeq, a predicted model, not a curated record
CUGCUCUCUCUCUCUCUCUCUCUCUCUCUCUCUCUCUCUCUCUCUCUCUCUCUCUCUCUCUCUCUCUCUCUCUCUCUCUCUCUCUCUCUCUCUCUCUCUGUACUACGUGGUUAUCUCAGGUAUCUCUCGCGUUAUCUUCACACCGAGACUUAUGAUAACAAUGUACAGUCCCCUUACGCUUUAAAGGUAGACUGUGGCAGACUGCUCCGGCUCUUGUGUGUGUGUGCGUGUGCGUGUGUGUGUAUGUGUGCGUGUGCGUGUAUGUGUGCGUGUGCGUGUGCGUGGCGGAGGCCGGAGCAGGGCACAGGCUUUUUUCAUUAUUGUUGGAGGUUUGUUUUGGUUGGUGAGAUAUGAAGUUUUCUUUUGUUGCCUCAACAGGGGGAAAUUAAGUCCUGGGAGAGGCGGCAGUGGAAGGUGUGUGUGUGUGUGUGUGUGUGUGUGUGUGUGUGUGUGUGUGUGUGUGUGUGUGUGUGUGUGUGUGUCUGUGUGUCUGUGUUCUUUGUCCUCGUCGUCAAUCCCCGCCACUCUGUGUGCACGACAGCAGCAGGGAUUGGCCGAGUUGUACACACAUUCUGACUCGAUUAUCACGAUAAUUUCGAAAUUCUCCUGGCGGGUAAUAUUUAGACUCCACUGUUUGCUCGGAGACAAGCGUGCCGUGCCUCCUGUAUUGUCUCCCGCUCCUGUCGAGGCAGUAUUGUUUGCUUGGCGACUCCUACUCCCUGCCUGCCCUCUCCUACAGUGGCACCCUCUUCUCCCUGCACCAUUCCACCGUCCCCUGCCUCUUCCCCUUCACCGUAGCUCACUCCUAUGCUCCCUGCCGACUUCCUUCCCCCCCCUACAGUGGCACCCUCUUUGCCAGGGUUCGCGCAGGAUGGCUGGCACCAGGAAGGGAAGGAGAGGAGAGAGGAGGAUGGGGGGGAGGAGGCAGCGGUAGAGGCGCGGGUGGACGUCGGAGCCAGUGAGCGUUGGGCAGUGUGAGGAGGCGGGCGCGCGGCACCAACACACGCACACGUCUGAAAGUCCUCGUCACGCACACCUGUUUGGGCCGCGUGUUCUCUUCUCUUCCCAGAAAACUUAUCUAUUACCCGUUUGGUCUGGGAAGUAAUUGCCUUUAUACCUCGUGUGAACCUGCGAGUGUACCGUGGAGGGCGAGGAGCCGCCGGGAAGACACUCCGGCCCUGCGUCAGGAAAAUCAUGCUAAAGUCGUGGCUAUCCAGGUAAAAAGAUCGUGACGGACACAACGAAUUAGUGUUCACUGCAUGUACCGGCGAUGGUGUGAGGGUGUAGAUCACAGUGUUACGAGGGUGACUGGAGUGUGAACCUUUAAUAUCGUGAAGAAAAAAGUGUUUGAAGUGUGUAUCCUGAGUGGAGUGUGACGCAUCAGAGGGGAUCAGAACCUGUAUCCCUGACCAUCGGAUCCCCGUCAGACCCAGACAUGGGGUUAUGAGGAUGUGAGCGACCCGGCAGCUUGUAAGAGCCAGACGACCUAGUGGGAUCCUAAGCUUUGGGUCUCACAGCGCCUCCCUCUCAGACCUUCAUACUCAGGCCAGGUCUCAGCACACACGAGGCAGCAUGGAGGGCGGCGUGUACGACAACAUCAGCUGCGUGCAGGAGCUGGCUAUCAAGGUAAGAAUGCCAGGUCUCGUUAGCAGCAAGUAACGUGAGUCUCCAUCGGUCUCCUCUCGUCUAUUACAAAGGGGGAGACACCUGCCUUGUUAGCUACAGGUAAUUGGAGCUUAGCAGUCCCUCGCUUCCCAUAGCACAGCGUGAGUCUCGCCUAUGCAGUAAAGGCUCAGGUGACUCACUGUUCGUGUUAUCUAUUAUUACU